AUGUUGACCAUUCAUGUGAUUGUUGCAUCUAUAGAAAGGAGUUUUUCUAAACUCAAGUUCUUAAAGUCAUACUUGCAUUCUACUAUGACACAAGAGAGACUUAAUGGAGUGGCGACAAUAGCACUUGAAAAUGAUGUCUUGGAGAAGAUAAAGUACAAAGAUAUGAUUGAAGAUUUUAUUUCAAAAAAUACUAGACGGAUGCUCCUUUUUUGGUAG
Molecule: ribosomal RNA, 216 nt
Filed under: Triticum aestivum (bread wheat)
Lineage: Eukaryota; Viridiplantae; Streptophyta; Magnoliopsida; Poales; Poaceae
Description: partial small subunit ribosomal RNA
Source: RNAcentral